CCCAAAAAAAAGAUCGCUAACUUCAAUUUUCAAAAGCAGCUGCCUUGUAGAAAAAAUGAAAGGCACAGAAUUUGAAACUGCUAAACUUAUUUUCCAUUGCAAGGAUAAGUAAUACAACCAUACUGUAUUUGGUUAUCUUUCUCAAAUGCAAUGUGUGUGUGUGUGUGUGUGUGUGUGUUCUAGCACACAAAUCAUUUUGUGAAUUGUGAUGUUAACAUUUAAGUCUUGCAAUUUCAGGCACAUCCAAAUCUCACUUUGUGUGGCUUUUCCUUUGCCAAUUUUGUCACCUGUUCCUUCAGGUCAAGUGCUGAUGCCAUUGUCCUCAGAGACACCCCCAUCCCUGAGGGGGAAAACUUGUGACAAUGUAAUCACCAUCUAAUACAAUUUAUUUGUAUUACUAGGUGCUUUGGCAGAGAGAGGGCGAGGCGAGGCUGCAGCUCUGCAUCUUCCAUAAUAUCGAGUUCCGGCUGAAGUUUCAGUUCAAAAAUGCAGCAAGAUUUCGGGAGGCAGGACAAGCAGUUUGUGCGAACCAAGUCCCUCAGCAGGGCUAGCAAUGGAUGUCUUGAAUGCCUGCAGAAUGAAGUGAAGAAUGGAAGCAGUCACUGGGCGUAUUCUGAAGUUGGAGGGCACAGAACAGCUAAAUCACUAUUCACUAAGCUGUGGCACUACACUGUCAGAUGAUAAUGCCAUUUUGAAGGUAAUCGACUGGGAUCAGAAAUAGGAACAAUGAAAUGGAAUCAGGGACUUUGUGUUUCAUUUCCAUCCCCUUGGUCCUCUCUGGUGUUAGGUUUAACCAAGACCCCAUAGCUGAGAAAACCGCAUUCUUUUGGCAUGGUGAUUAAUGCUUCACUUGACAGGAAUUCUUGCUGGCUGAAACUCAACUAUGCACUCAGGUUUCUAUUUGGCUGUUUUCAGCAUGGAAACGUCCUACCAAGACCGAUUCCAAACUUCGCACAAUAACAACAUGGCUGGCAAUUAAAAAUGUACAUGCUAAUUGCUGGACAUAAAAUGCCUCAUUUACUUAUUUGCACACGAAGCAGGGGCAGAAGUAGGGGAGGAAUCCAGAUUCUUGAAAUGUAGAGAGAUGUCAGAACUUGGUCCAAAACAUCCAAAAUUCUGUAGCCACAGAUGGUACGCUCAUUCUUUGUUUAUGCAAAUCCGCAUAAACUAACGGCAUCGUUCAUUGACUUGCAACACCUGGACUGUGGCAGAAUCUGUAAAUUUCUGGGAAGAAAAUAGUAUGGAAGAAUGUGCAGGACAAACUGGCAUAGCAAUCACACCCAACUCCCCUGGCAGGCUGGAGGUUGGGUUUCCCUUGGUGGUUCCUUGGCUGCUGCCUCCCACCUCUUCGUCCUGCCAGUCCCUGACCCCCCGCCCCCAUCCCUGAAGUUGCGUGCUCUCUUCCUUGGCUUAUGGGUGCUCAUGCUGUGUUGUGUACACACACACACAACAUGCACACAAUGACAUGCAGCCCUUUUAAAAACAACAACAACAAAGUUUUUUGGGUUUUUUCACAUUUUAACUUAACCAUUUCAAACAUUAAAAUACAAGGUUCUUUUGAACCUUCGGACCUCCCUCCCUCCUUCCAUGGGUUCUAUGUUUAAGAUUAAAUUUGCUGGAUCUUUUACCAUUAUCCAUCUGUUAAAUAUCCAUAAUUAUCAUAAAUAAUUCCACAUUACAAGUGUCAAUGCCA
This 1693-nucleotide long non-coding RNA is filed under the name Podarcis lilfordi (Lilford's wall lizard). The record is from RNAcentral. Lineage: Eukaryota; Metazoa; Chordata; Lepidosauria; Squamata; Lacertidae.